RNAcentral lists this ribosomal RNA (253 nucleotides) under uncultured bacterium. RNAcentral describes it as "partial 16S ribosomal RNA". It matches the Rfam family "Bacterial small subunit ribosomal RNA", at positions 524 to 776 of the family's 1533-position model. The record is from RNAcentral.
UACGGAGGGUGCAAGCGUUAUCCGGAUUCACUGGGUUUAAAGGGUGCGUAGGUGGGCAAGUAAGUCAGUGGUGAAAUCUCCGGGCUUAACCCGAAAACUGCCAUUGAUACUAUUUGUCUUGAAUACUGUGGAGGUCAGCGGAAUAUGUCAUGUAGCGGUGAAAUGCUUAGAUAUGACAUAGAACACCAAUUGCGAAGGCAGCUGGCUACACAAAUAUUGACACUGAGGCACGAAAGCGUGGGGAUCAAACAGG